Molecule: ribosomal RNA, 445 nt
Filed under: uncultured bacterium
Lineage: Bacteria
Description: bacterial SSU rRNA
Rfam family: Bacterial small subunit ribosomal RNA
Source: RNAcentral
GUAGGGAAUAUUGGGCAAUGGAGGCAACUCUGACCCAGCCAUGCCGCGUGCAGGAUGACGGCCCUCUGGGUUGUAAACUGCUUUUAUACGGGAAGAAAAAAUACUACGUGUAGUAUACUGACGGUACCGUAAGAAUAAGGAUCGGCUAACUCCGUGCCAGCAGCCGCGGUAAUACGGAGGAUCCAAGCGUUGUCCGGAUUUAUUGGGUUUAAAGGGUGCGUAGGCGGAUCUUUAAGUCAGUGUUGAAAGCCUGCAGCUUAACUGUAGAAUUGCCAUUGAAACUGAAGAUCUUGAAUGUGGUUAAAGUAGGCGGAAUGUAUCAUGUAGCGGUGAAAUGCUUAGAUAUGAUACAGAACACCGAUAGCGAAGGCAGCUUGCUGAACCAUUAUUGACGCUGAGGCACGAAAGCGUGGGGAGCGAACAGGAUUAGAUACCCGAGUAGUCC